GACGAACGCUGGCGGCGUGCUUAACACAUGCAAGUCGAACGGAAAGGCCCUGCUUGCAGGGUACUCGAGUGGCGAACGGGUGAGUAACACGUGGGUGAUCUGCCCUGCACUUCGGGAUAAGCUUGGGAAACUGGGUCUAAUACCGGAUAGGAGCCAUCUUUAGUGUGGUGGUUGGAAAGUUUUUUCGGUGUAGGAUGAGGUCGCGGCCUAUCAGCUUGUUGGUGGGGUAAUGGCCUACCAAGGCGGCGACGGGUAGCCGGCCUGAGAGGGUGUACGGCCACAUUGGGACUGAGAUACGGCCCAGACUCCUACGGGAGGGAGCAGUGGGGAAUAUUGCACAAUGGGCGCAAGCCUGAUGCAGCGACGCCGCGUGGGGGAUGAAGGCCUUCGGGUUGUAAACUCCUUUCGCUAGGGACGAAGCUUUGUUGUGACGGUACCUAGAUAAGAAGCACCGGCUAACUACGUG
This 466-nucleotide ribosomal RNA is filed under the name uncultured bacterium. RNAcentral's name for it is "partial 16S ribosomal RNA". It matches the Rfam family "Bacterial small subunit ribosomal RNA", at positions 28 to 507 of the family's 1533-position model. The record is from RNAcentral.